UAGGGAAUAUUGGGCAAUGGCCGAGAGGCUGACCCAGCCAUGCCGCGUGCAGGAAGAAGGCCUUCUGGGUUGUAAACUGCUUUUAUCAGGGAAGAAAACGCUCCUGCGGGGGUAACUGACGGUACCUGAUGAAUAAGCACCGGCUAACUCCGUGCCAGCAGCCGCGGUAAUACGGAGGGUGCAAGCGUUGUCCGGAUUUAUUGGGUUUAAAGGGUGCGUAGGCGGCCCGUUAAGUCAGCGGUGAAAUCCCACGGCUCAACCGUGGAACUGCCGUUGAUACUGGCGGGCUUGAGUUCGGUCGAGGCGGGCGGAACUGGUGGUGUAGCGGUGAAAUGCUUAGAUACCACCAAGAACCCCGAUUGCGUAGGCAGCUCGCUGGGCCGAAACUGACGCUGAGGCACGAAAGCGUGGGGAGCGAACAGG
RNAcentral lists this ribosomal RNA (423 nucleotides) under Bacillota bacterium. Its description in RNAcentral is "Firmicutes bacterium partial 16S ribosomal RNA". It matches the Rfam family "Bacterial small subunit ribosomal RNA", at positions 355 to 776 of the family's 1533-position model. The record is from RNAcentral. Lineage: Bacteria; Bacillati; Bacillota. RNAcentral also lists the same sequence under 1 other name.